Molecule: ribosomal RNA, 504 nt
Filed under: uncultured bacterium
Lineage: Bacteria
Description: partial 16S ribosomal RNA
Rfam family: Bacterial small subunit ribosomal RNA
Source: RNAcentral
AUUGAACGCUGGCGGCAGGCCUAACACAUGCAAGUCGAACGGUAGCACAGAGAGCUUGCCCUCGGGUGACGAGUGGCGGACGGGUGAGUAAUGUCUGGGAAACUGCCCGAUGGAGGGGGAUAACUACUGGAAACGGUAGCUAAUACCGCAUAACGUCGCAAGGCCAAAGUGGGGGACCUUCGGGCCUCACACCAUCGGAUGUGCCCAGAUGGGAUUAGCUAGUAGGUGGGGUAAUGGCUCACCUAGGAGACGAUCCCUAGCUGGUCUGAGAGGAUGACAAGCCACACUGGAACUGAGACACGGUCCAGACUCCUACGGGAGGCAGCAGUGGGGAAUAUUGCACAAUGGGCGCAAGCCUGAUGCAGCCAUGCCGCGUGUAUGAAGAAGGCCUUCGGGUUGUAAAGUACUUUCAGCGGGGAGGAAGGCGGUGAAGUUAAUAACUUCACCGAUUGACGUUACCCGCAGAAGAAGCACCGGCUAACUCCGUGCCAGCCGCCGCGGUAA